RNAcentral lists this ribosomal RNA (510 nucleotides) under uncultured bacterium. Its description in RNAcentral is "partial 16S ribosomal RNA". It matches the Rfam family "Bacterial small subunit ribosomal RNA", at positions 28 to 507 of the family's 1533-position model. The record is from RNAcentral.
GACGAACGCUGGCGGCGUGCUUAACACAUGCCAGUCGAACGAAGAGCGAUGGAAGCUUGCUUCUAUCAAUCUUAGUGGCGAACGGGUGAGUAACGCGUAAUCAACCUGCCCUUCAGAGGGGGACAACAGUUGGAAACGACUGCUAAUACCGCAUACGAUCUAAUCUCGGCAUCGAGGAUAGAUGAAAGGUGGCCUCUACAUGUAAGCUAUCACUGAAGGAGGGGAUUGCGUCUGAUUAGCUAGUUGGGGGGGUAACGGCCCACCAAGGCGAUGAUCAGUAGCCGGUCUGAGAGGAUGAACGGCCACAUUGGGACUGAGACAUGGCCCAGACUCCUACGGGAGGCAGCAGUGGGGAAUCUUCCGCAAUGGACGAAAGUCUGACGGAGCAACGCCGCGGGAGUGAUGACGGCCUUCGGGUUGUAAAGCUCUGUUAAUCGGGACGAAAGGCCUUCUUGCGAAUAGUGAGAAGGAUUGACGGUACCGGAAGAGAAAGCCACGGCUAACUACGUG